Molecule: ribosomal RNA, 596 nt
Filed under: uncultured organism
Description: bacterial SSU rRNA
Rfam family: Bacterial small subunit ribosomal RNA
Source: RNAcentral
AGAUGUCGUUCUAUACUGCGGGGCUUGAGAACACCAGAGGAAGGCGGAAUUCCCGGUGUAAUGCUCCAAUGCGUAGAUAUCGGGAGGAACACCUAUGGCGAAGACGGCAUUCUGGCCUGUUCGUGACGCUGAAGGCGAACGCUAGGGGACCGUACGGGAUUAGAUACCCCGGUAGUCCUAGCUGUAAACGAUGGAUGUUGGCUCUGGGGGCUGUAAAUUCCGUAUGUGCCGAAGCAUACGCAUUAAGCAUCCCGCCUGGGGACUACGGCCGCAAGGAUAUUACUCAUACGAAUUGACGGGGGCCCGCACAAGCAACGGAGCGUGUGGUUUAAUUCGAUGCUACACGAAGAACCUUACCUGGGUCUGACAUGCACGUGGUAGGGAACCGAAAGUGGACCGACAUUCGGGAGCGUGCACAGGUGAUGCAUGCCUGUCGUCAGCUCGUUCCGUGAGUGCUCGGAUUAAGUCCAGUCACGAGCGCAACCUUCGCCAUUAGUUACAAGUGUCUAAGAGGACUGCCCGGCACACCUGCGAGAAAGCUCUGGACGACAUCAAAUCAGCAUGGCCUCUAUAUACAGGGCUACACACACGCUACA